UUGACGUUUCUAGAGAAUUAAGUUCUCUGUCUACUCACAAAAUAGGUUAAGCAUGGAGAGUGGCAAUGUAAGCUUCCCCACACUGCCCCACUAACAAGCCUCAACCCUGCAUCAGAGAGAUCACCUAUACUAGGGAGAGAAUAAUUAAGUUUAAAUAUCCAUUCAGUCCCCACACUCCC
Gopherus agassizii (Agassiz's desert tortoise) is the source of this 179-nucleotide unclassified non-coding RNA. Lineage: Eukaryota; Metazoa; Chordata; Testudines; Testudinidae. The record is from Ensembl.